Molecule: long non-coding RNA, 663 nt
Filed under: Pocillopora damicornis (cauliflower coral)
Lineage: Eukaryota; Metazoa; Cnidaria; Anthozoa; Scleractinia; Pocilloporidae
Description: uncharacterized LOC113682752, transcript variant X2
Source: RNAcentral
UAAAUGCUGUAAAAAAAACAGACUUUCGACCACAUAAAUAGGAUUGAAAGUAUAGUGCGUGCUUAUCUCAUCAGAAUUUCCAGACAUAGAUUUCUAUUGUUACUUACAGAGAGAGCGUUUCUUUCUUCCAGAAACAAGCUCAACGUUUACCGAUUCAACGCGCGAGAAGGAGUUUAGACCCGAAACUGUGCCACUUUUUUGAAACCCGGCAAGCUUAAGUGGAUUGAGUCAAGCGUGUAAUCUGUAAUUGUCUUAGGGGCGGAAAUAAUGGAAGAGGCAAAAUUAGUUUUGUGACGACACUGCAUGACGUAGAACUUGACAAAGUGAUUGAUAUCUCAGCUUACGUUAAUCCUGUUUGAAAGAUGUGCAUUAACGAUUUUAGUUGCAUUAAAGAAAAGCUCUUACUGUAAGUGGCUUUCGCUCAUAGCAUUAGAUAUAUUCGGCGCAAAUCAGUCCUGUUGGCGAAUAGAUAACAGAUAAAUUGGGACCUAUAUAUUGGAACCGCUGUGUGAAUUUCAAUAUUUAAGCACUCCUUUUCAAAGAACAAAGAGGUCAUGUCUCUCUACGAGCGCGCACGACACUAUCGUUCCCACUCCCUCAAACCUCUCAAUCAACCAAGUUUACUUACCCAGCGUUCCAAGCGCACACUCAGCCUGCCAAGCA